UAGAAGGUUAAACGCAGGGAGGGCACGGGGGUUCCAUGUAAACUUCAGUAAGUUGCAUAAACAGAGGCGGCGAUGUUUUAUGUCUCUGAUCUUUUCCAAGGACAUCUGGCCUCUGGGUUGCAGCGCAAUGCUCACUAACAGAAGCUGACUCAUUUGUGUUAUGUCUCUGAUCUUUUCCAAGGACAUCUGGCCCCUGGGUUGCAGCGUGAUGCUCACUAACAGAAGCUGACUCAGUUGUGUUUUCUGGUUUUGGGGAAUAUCUUUAAUCACCACAUGAAUGUUUAUAAACUGUUGGGGCUAAACAUGAAACUCACUCUUCAGGUGCCGUCUCCACCUAGCCACCGUGUACAUUUUCUUUCUCUCUCUUGCAGCUGUUCUCUUCCUACGGACUGAAUGAAAAAUAAAAGGAAGUCAUUUCUGCAUGUGUCACAGAGGCAUCCUUUGGUUCUAAAGGAAGCUAAGUUGGAUUCCACAAGCCCAUGGUCCUUAUAGCAUGUGAAUAGGAUUCAGUCACGGACGAGAAGGAAGAGGUUCAGGAGAGACUGUAAUCGCCCUGUCCAGGCUAACCCUCCAGCUGUGCAGGAGUAUCAAGUCCAAAAAGAAGCUCUUCAAACCAUCUGGGAAGAGAAAACAGCAUGACAAGGAAAGGUGUAUUUGUCUGAUUCUAGGAAUCAAUAUAAACAUCCAUGAUAACCCCAUCUAAUUUUUAAAUGUAUGAUUUGGAUGAAACAAGAGAAGACACUGAUUGUUGCUGAGUCCCUGCUGUAGUCCUGACACAGCUGGAGAUGCCCUGCUCUCCUUAUUUUCUUGAUGCUCAUGAGGACCCUGAUGUCUAAGGAAGAAGGUUCUCGUCCAGGUCUGCCCCUGGUGUGUCACGUGCCAGCCUUGUCAAUGCACACGAGAACCUGACAGGUUUUAUGAUUUUAGAACAUAAGUUUUAUGAUUGUUAGUGCUGGGCAACAAAAAGGAGUCCAGAGGAACGGGAGAAAAAACAACAAUAGCAAUGAUGUGAAUGCAAAACAUGAACCAGACUAAGCAGAGCAGAGGGCGGUGUGGAGCGGGAAGCAGAGACAGAAGCUUGUGAUGUUUCAGUGAUUGCUGGGAGUUAUUCAUCACCGGCUGGUCUCCUGCUUGGGUGUGCCCCAAGUCACCCACCCAGAAGUCAAAGGUCGAGCAUGCUUUCCAUGAAGUCUGGAGGUACAGAGCAAGGCAGACAGCCACGGGCGUGUCAGGAGGGCAGCGGGAAAUGCUCAUCCCCUUCUCCAAGAAGAGGGAAUCCCACCAUCCACAGGUUCUUCCUGCUCUGUCUCAAAGGCGGAGGCAGCUAGAAUACUCUGUCAAAAAGCAACCACAGGAAGAACAUAAUGUCAAUGCAUGGCUUUAUGUUAACAUAAUUACAUUUAUUCCAGACAAAGGUUUUUUGUAAAUUAAAGAUAGAUUAUGUUGCAACUUUUAUACUCCUCUGCCUAAUUUAGUGAGUAUUUGAUAUAUUCAGAUUUAUUUUAACCAAUUAGUUUUUUUUAAUAGAGGCAGGGUCUCAGUCUGUCACCUUGGCUGAAGUGCUGGUGUGAUCACAGCUCACUACAGCCUUGACCUCCUGGGCUCAAAUGAUCCUCUCACCUCAAUCUCUCAAGUAGCUGGGACUACGGACGAGCACCACCACAAUCACCUAAUUUUUUUUUUUAAUUUUUAGUAGAGACCAGGUCUCACUAACUUGCCCGGGCUGGCCUUGAACUCCUGAGUCCAAAUGAUCCUCCUGCCUUAGCCUCCCAAAGUGCCUGCAAUUACAGACAUAAGCCACCGUGCCAGCCGGCUGAUUAAAUUAAUUAUAUGUGUGCCUUAACUAAAAAAUGAGAUUGCUCAAUAUAGAGUAACUUGUUUUUCUUAUAGAAUUAUCAGAAAGUAAUGCUUUUUUGAAAUGUUGUUUCACUAAAAUAUUUUUAAUUUGUUUUCUUGGUAUUUCGUUAUGACAAUUUUUUCCUUCUACCUCAACUGCCGUACUGUCAGCAUUUCCUGAGGGUCCGAUAAGUAGGGAAAUGCACCAAGAAGCAACGUGGACCAAGCAAUAAAAAUAAACAAAUAAAAGAAGAAAAUCCCACUGCAAAAAAGUCUGAAACAGAAUUCUUGACUCCCCGACAUUCAUCCCUGCCUCAGCCUGUCCCCCAUUUCACCCUCCUUAUUUCCACACAGGGCUGUGCAUCCCUACUCGCUCAGAUCUAAAACUCUACACCCUAUGCCCAACUCCUCUUUCCUGCACACUUCCUACCAGCCCAUCAGAAAGCCUGCUGACUCCUCUCCUGAAGCACUGCGUGAGGGUGACCCCUCCUCCCUGUGAGCACCGCAACAGCCCCAGUGGAACCACCAUCCCGGCCCCGAUGCAACUGUUUCCCCACAGGGUCCCCACACAUAGCCAUGGUGUAUCCCCUCCAAAACACCCACUCUGCCUGAACACUUCCCCAGCUCUUUAUAUGACUGCCUUCAUUGUAUCAUUCAUCUCUUACCUCAAUUGAACUUCCUCAAAGAAGUGUCCUCACUUAUUCUACAUAUGACAACAUGAGUAACAUCACUCCUUUCCCCAGACUCACUCGUCAUUCCAUUGCAUUUCCCAUUUUCUACAGUGAUCACAAAGUCUGUAUCUAAUUGGAAAAUACUUAUCUGCUUUACUUAUCAUCUGCUUUAAUUUUUAAGUUUUCUUUUUUCUUCUGGACAUCAACUUCCAUGUUGAUGGACGCUGUUGAGCAUUUCCUAGGAAGUGUUUAGGUUUGAGCUGCAAGAGCUGCCUUGUCCAAGACUGAUUUCCACAGGCUGGUCUCCUGCAAAGCCUCAUGGCUAUGGCCAAGUGCUUAAGCUCAGAUGGGGUGGUGAAUUGGUGAAUUACACCAGAACCCUGCCAUGCCAUAGAAGCUACAACUGCAAGGUUAGAAGCUCAGUGCCGUGAUCUGGCCAAGUGUUGAAACUCAGAUGGGGUGGUGAAUUGGUGAAUCAUGUCACGACCCUUCCAUGCCGUAGAAGCCACAACUACAAGGCUAGGAACCCAGUGUCCUGUUGAGAGACAGGACUAGCUGGAUUUCCUAGGCCAACUAAGAAUCCCUAAGCCUAGCUGGGAAGGUGACCACAUCCACCUUUAAACACGGGGCUUGCAACUUAGCUCACACCCGACCAAUCAGGUAGUAAAGAGAGCUCACUAAAAUGCUAAUUAGGCAAAAACAGGAGGUAAAGAAAUAGCCAAUCAUCUAUCACCUGAGAGCACAGUGGGAGGGACAAUGAUUGGGAUAUAAACCCAGGCAUUUGAGCCGGCAAUGGCUACGCUCUCUGGGUCCCCUGCCUUUGUAUGGGAGCUCUGUUUUCACUCUAUUAAAUCUUGCAACUGCACACUCUUCUGGUACAUGUUUGUUACGGCUCGAGCUGAGCUUUCACUCACCAUCCACCACGGCUGUUUGUCGCUGAUGCAGACCUGCCACUGACUUCCACCCCUCCGGAUCUGACAGGGUGUCUGCUGUGCUUCUGAUCCAGUGAGGCACCCGUUGCUGCUCCGGAUCAGGCUAAAGGCUUGCCAUCGUUCCUGCACGGCUAAGUGCCCAGGUUCAUCCUAAUCGAGCUGAACACUAGUCGCUGUGUUCCACGGUUCUCUUCCAUGACCCACAGUUUCUAAUAGAGCUAUAACACUCACCACAUGGCCCAAGAUUUUCCAUUCCUUGGAAUCCGUGAGGCCAAGAACCCCAGUUCAGAGAACAAGAGGCUUGCCGCCAUCUUGGAAGUGGCCUGCCACCAUCUUGGCAGCUCUGGGAGCAAGGAACCCUGGUAACAUUCUGGUAACCAUGAAGGGACCUCCAAAGUGGUUUGUCUGUUCCAGAACUGAAGAUGUAAAACUACAAAUGGUUCUUCAAAUGGAGCCCCAGAUGUAGUCCAUGACUAAGAUCUACCAUGGACCCCUGGACUGGCCUGCUAGCCCAUGCUCCAAUGUUGAUGACAUCGAAGGCACCCCUCCCGAGGAAAUCUCAACUGCAUGACCCCUACUAUGCCCCAAUUCAACAGGAAGCAGUUAGAGCAGUUGUCAGCCAACCUCCCCAACAGCACUUGGGUUUUCCUGUUGAGAGGGGGCACUGAGAGACAGGACUAGCUGGAUUUCCUAGGCCAACUAAGAAUCCCUAAGCCCAGCUGGGAAGGUGACUGCAUCCACCUUUAAACACGGGGCUUGCAACUUAGCUCACACCCGACCAAUCAGGUAGUAAAGAGAGCUCACUAAAAUGCUAAUUAGGCAAAAACAGGAGGUAAAGAAAUAGCCAAUCAUCUAUCACCUGAGAGCACAGUGGGAGGGACAAUGAUUGGGAUAUAAACCCAGGCAUUUGAGCCGGCCAUGGUAACCCCCUUUGGGUCCCCUCCCAUUUUAUGGGAGCUCUGUUUUCACUCUAUUAAAUCUUGCAACUGCACACUCUUCUGGUCCGUGUUUGUUACGGCUCGAGCUGAGCUUUCGCUCACCGUCCACCAGUGCUGUUUGUCGCUGUUGCAGACCCACCACUGACUUCCACCCCUCCGGAUCCAACAGGGUGUCUGCUGUGCUCCUGAUCCAGUGAGGCACCCAUUGCUGUGCUGGACUGGGCUAAAGGCUUGCCAUUGUUCCUGCAUGGCUAAGUGCCCAGGUUCAUCCUAAUCGAGCUGAACACUAGUCACUGGGUUCCACGGUUCUCUUCUGUGACCCAUGGCUUCUUUUUUUUUUUUUUUUUUUUGAGAUGGAGUCUUGCUCUGUUGCCCAGGCUGGAGUGCAGUGGUGCCAUCUCAGCUUACUGCAAGCUCUGCCUCCCGGGUUCACGCCAUACUCCUGGCCACCAUGCCUGGCCUGACCCACAGCUUCUAAUAGAGCUAUAACACUCACCACAUGGCCCAAGAUUCCGUUCCUUGGAAUCCAUGAGGCCACGAACCCCAGGUCAGAGAACAAGAGGCUUGCCGCCAUCUUGGAAGUGGCCCACAACCAUCUUGGGAGCUCUGGGAGCAAGGACCCCCUGGUAAGACUGUCAUAUCAGGAGAGAGGCCGUUGCUUUUCUGAUUCUGCAGUUUUAUUGCCCAAUAUCUCCAGAGUUUGCCUCCUACCUAGAAUCUUCCUACAGCUACCUGUGAACCACACCUGUAGCUGACUGCUGCUCCCAGGGGGCAAAUUAUCCCAACAAAACUUAGGAGUGCCUUUGUUUGACAAUGUCUUUAACUAGAUUUGGGAUGCAAUAUCACAUAUAAAGAUUUUGCAGCCACUCUACAUAUCACUAUUAUAUUAAAUUCUUAUUGUUUUGUUGUUCUUAUAUGACUGAAUUUCACCAUUAGGGUGUCUUCUCUAUUCCUGGUAACUUUGAAAGCAGUAAUUUCUCAACAAAUAUUUGUGAAAAAAAUGAAAGAAUGAAAAACAAAGUAUGGUGAGGGCACAUUUUUAUGGCUUUUGCCCCUUCAAUUUUUUUUGUACAUAAAUAAGAUAAAGUAAAACCAUUUAAAACAAUUUCAAAACAUUAAUAGACAUGCACUCUUCAGUAUAUGAAAAUUUACUGACAUAUUAUUGAGUAAAGCAAGCAUAUCCAGGCAUAUUCAACUACACCCAGAGUAACAUCUCAUUAGGGUAAAGUAACAUAUAGAUAUAUGCAAACAGAGAUGUCUAGAAAACUGUUCACCAAAACUAACAGGGAUAUCUAGGGUGGUGGAAUUUUAAGUGAGUUUUUCUUUGUGCUUGAUUAAAGUUAUUUGGGUUUUUUGCAAUUAUAUGCAAAAUUUUAUUUUAAAAGAAAAGUUAUUUACAGAGUUCCACCUCUGGUAUGGAAAAGAAAGCUUUGAAUAUUCAAUUGGAAACUCUAAAUUCUGAAUAUAUAAAAGCAACUACCUGAAAGGUCUGAAGAAUAAAAAAAUUGUUACUGGUAGAAGGUGUCCAGGUGCUUGGCAUCUUGAAGCAAGAAUUGGACAAAACACACAAACGAACUGUGGAAAGCAAAAGCAGGGAUUUGUUGAGCGUGAAAGUACCCUCCACAGUGCGGGAGUGGGCGGGCAUAGAGGCUCAAGAGCCCCACUUACAAAAUUUUCUGGGGCUUCAAUACUCUAGACGUUUCCCGUUGGUUACUUGGCGAAUAUUUUAUGUAAAUGAAGAGAGUGAAGUGAAGUCACAGAGUCUUUUACUCAGAAUGUGCCCUAUUGUAAAUGGAAAGGAUGUUACUUGGUGUGUGUGGUCUAUGUAAAUGGAGAGGAUGAAUCUGAAGUUACAAAGCCAUUCACAUUCCUGUCAUUGCUGAAGUGCUUUCAUUUGAUUUAGUUCUAGGAAGUCAGCAUGGAUCAACCUUAUGUUCCCUGCUGCCAGACCCUAUUCUCCUACCUCAAAAUGACAACAGAUUUUGAAAGAGUAACAAAAUAUGAAAGAAGUUAUCAGCACAAUGUAAGCUUCCCAUUUUUGUGGCUUUGUCCUGAGGGAAGGCCAUGAAUAUAGUGUAAUUCGGGGUUGCUAAAACUUCACUGAAAAGCACAUUGCCUUUCUGGCCUGGGAAAGACCCAGGUGGCAGCAGCCACUGGGAAUUGAAGGUGAAUCUGGGAGAGGAGAGCGUUGGAGAGGUGAGCAUUUGUUCAUUUGUUCUGUUGUAAACUCUGCCAGUCUCUGGCUAACAUGCAACGUGUGGGCAGGACAGGCUCAGGGCUAAGGGAGUAAACAGAUAUGU
Molecule: long non-coding RNA, 6677 nt
Filed under: Homo sapiens (human)
Lineage: Eukaryota; Metazoa; Chordata; Mammalia; Primates; Hominidae
Description: HSALNT0025650
Source: RNAcentral